Molecule: unclassified non-coding RNA, 2062 nt
Filed under: Hevea brasiliensis (rubber tree)
Lineage: Eukaryota; Viridiplantae; Streptophyta; Magnoliopsida; Malpighiales; Euphorbiaceae
Source: RNAcentral
CUUCUCCUCUGCUUCCUUCUUUUGUACGUUCAUUAUCCUUCUAUAUAUUUAAUUUUGUAGCUAAAAUGUCCAUACUCACAUUCUUUUCUGCUAUAGAAAUGGAUUGGAUUGGAUUGGUUUGUUUUGCUUGUUUGGGAAUUGGAGAAUUGAGCUAAAUCUUUAAUGUAAAAAGUUUUCUGGCAUUCGUUUAAUUUUUGAACUUUGAAUGUAUAUCGUCGUAAGCACUGUGGAUCUAGCUUGGAUCUAAGUUAGGAUGGGGGCUUGGGCAGAGAAGAUUGUAAUUUCAUUAUGAUAGGUUUGAAUAAUUGACGUUUUGCUUUUGUGUAGAAAAUUAGAGUUGAAAAAAGCCUCAAUUUUGAUCCUGGAAAAUUAGGGAUGCAGGAUUCUUGGCUCUGGUUGAAGUCAAAUGGUAUUUCAAUCACCAUUGAGUUUGCAAGCUACUAAUGCAAAAGCUUUAAAUGGUGGAACAAAUUAAUAAUUCUGCUAAAAAUUUUAUAUUUUUAUGAUUUUUUAUGCAAUUUAAAAUCACCUUAUUAGCCAGUAGCCACUAUCAAAGCUACUGAAUUGCAAGGUGCCCGCAGCAUUUUGAGCUUGAAUUUCAAUUAUGACCUCUCUUAAUUUAAGGACUGUCUAUUUUUAUGCAAAUCUGUCUGACCAGCUCGCUGGAAAUCCUAAACAAUCCACUUUCCGAUUAAUUUUAAUAGAAAAUUUGCAGCCAUGUUGUUCCUCUGGUUAAUGUUGACAGUUGACUAGCUGGCAUAGGAGGAUACUUUAUUCAACAUUGUAUUGCAGUAACUUUUCGUAUUUAUUGAGUUUAUAUACAAGAAUGUAGAGAAAGCAAUUAUUUCUUUGCCAGAGUCUUAUUGAAAAUUUGCAACUUUUGACAAGCUGGAUUGAUGAAUGUACUUACUGAACUAUUUUCGUGGGAACUUUUCAUAUUUGUUGAGAUUUUAGAAAAUUGUUACUAAAUCAUGUAUUUAUGACGUCUUGUUGGAAGUAUGCAAAUUUUGAUUUUAAAGCUUCAGUUCAUUUUCAGAGAAGAUGCAAUUUGGAUUCUCAGAGAUCAUCUAUAGGGAAAGUUGAAGAAGACAUAAAUGAUGAGGCAUGUGAGUUAGUCAAUGGAGUGGAAUUGUCAAUAGGCAAGGGUGCUGAUACCAUCAGUGCUUAUCUCUUCAAGGCAGUGAAAAAUAACAAUGGAACUGGCAUACUGCUCUUGUCUGAUGUUUUUGGGUUUGAAGAUUCAUCUACAAGAGACUUUGCAUAUCGUGUUGCCUGUAAUGGCUACAAUGUUCUUGUUCCUGACUUAUUUCGUGGAGACCCGUGGGCAAAAGACCUGCCAAAGACUAAGUUUGAACAGUGGAUAGCAAAACAAGAGCCGCAGAGGGUUGCAAAGGACAUCACCACAGCAACAAAAUGGAUGGCUGAUGAAAUUUUUAGCUGCCGGAAUUUCAAAGAAGCUGGGCAUAAUUGGGUUUUGCUUUCGAGGAGGCCAAGUGAUAGAGGCGCUAUCGAGAGACCAAGGAGCUUGUUUUGGCAUAGCGGUCUCCUUUUAUGGUACAAGGAUGCUUCCAUCAGUAGCUUCCAAUGUAAAAGUUCCCGUAUUUUUUAUUUCAGGGGACAACGAUCCGCUAUGCUCAGUCAAUGUCUUGAAAGAUAUCGAGAAGAGCAUGUGUCAGGGGUCAAGGGUAGUCGUCUUCCAGGGAAGAGGUCAUGGCUUUGCCCAUCGUCCUAACUCCCCUGAAGAAGAUAGAGAUGCAGAGCAGGCUUUUGUUCUCAUGAGAAAUUGGCUAUAUGAUGGUUUGGUCUUACAAUGAGUGCAGGCUGUAUGAAGUUUUUGUAUAUUAAUUGUGCCUGUAAAGUUUGUUGCCUCUGUUGUUUAUGAAUAGGGUGAAAUUUUUAAGGAGACUGAUGUUCCAUCAUUGGAUUUCAGUGCUGCAGAUAAUUUCUUUGCAUCAAGAGUUUUGUAGGAUGUUGCUUAAAUGGGAAAACUUACUAGAGAAAGUCAUAUACUUCGUUCAAAUUCUAAUCUUCCAUUCUGGGCAAUAUAGGUCCUGGUUAUUCU